This 200-nucleotide unclassified non-coding RNA is filed under the name soil metagenome. RNAcentral's name for it is "partial contains internal transcribed spacer 2 and large subunit ribosomal RNA". The record is from RNAcentral.
GUUCGAGCGUCAUUUCAACCCUCAAGCUUAGCUUGGUAUUGAGUCCAUGUCAGCAAUGGCAGGCUCUAAAACCAGUGGCGGCGCCGCUGGGUCCUGAGCGUAGUAAUAUCUCUCGUUACAGGUUCUCGGUGUGCUUCUGCCAAAACCCAAAUUUUUCUAAGGUUGACCUCGGAUCAGGUAGGGAUACCCGCUGAACUUAA